This 431-nucleotide ribosomal RNA is filed under the name uncultured bacterium. RNAcentral describes it as "partial 16S ribosomal RNA". It matches the Rfam family "Bacterial small subunit ribosomal RNA", at positions 29 to 507 of the family's 1533-position model. The record is from RNAcentral.
AACGAACGCUGGCGGCAGGCCUAACACAUGCAAGUCGAGCGCCCCGCAAGGGGAGCGGCGGACGGGUGAGUAACGCGUGGGAACGUACCCUUUGCUACGGAAUAGCCUCGAGAAACUGGGAGUAAUACCGUAUGUGUCCUUCGGGAGAAAGAUUUAUCGGCAAGGGAUCGGCCCGCGUUGGAUUAGGUAGUUGGUGGGGUAAUGGCCUACCAAGCCGACGAUCCAUAGCUGGUUUGAGAGGAUGAUCAGCCACACUGGGACUGAGACACGGCCCAGACUCCUACGGGAGGAAGAAGUGGGGAAUCUUAGACAAUGGGCGCAAGCCUGAUCUAGCCAUGCCGCGUGAGAGAUGAAGGCCUUAGGGUUGUAAAGCUCUUUCAGGGGGGAAGAUAAUGACUGUACCCCCAGAAGAAGCCCCGGCUAACUCCGUG